ACUCAAAGGAAUUGACGGGGACCUGCACAAGCGGUGGAGCAUGUGGUUUAAUUCGACGCAACGCGAAGAACCUUACCUGGGUUAAAUCCGAGUGAAAAGCGCAGAGAUGCGUUCCCCUCGCAAGAGGCACAAAGGAAGGUGCUGCAUGGCUGUCGUCAGCUCGUGUCGUGAGAUGUUGGGUUAAGUCCCGCAACGAGCGCAACCCUUACCAUUAGUUACCAUCAUUCAGUUGGGGACUCUAAUGGAACUGCCGGUGAUAAACCGGAGGAAGGUGGGGAUGACGUCAAGUCAUCAUGGCCUUUAUGUCCAGGGCUACACACGUGCUACAAUGGACGGUACAAACCGUAGCAAACCCGCGAGGGGGAGCCAAUCGGAAAAAACCGUUCUCAGUUCGGAUUGUAGUCUGCAACUCGACUACAUGAAGUUGGAAUCGCUAGUAAUCGCGGAUCAGCACGCCGCGGUGAAUACGUUCCCAGGUCUUGUACACACCGCCCGU
RNAcentral lists this ribosomal RNA (496 nucleotides) under uncultured bacterium. RNAcentral's name for it is "partial 16S ribosomal RNA". It matches the Rfam family "Bacterial small subunit ribosomal RNA", at positions 899 to 1397 of the family's 1533-position model. The record is from RNAcentral.